GACGAACGCUGGCGGCGUGCCUAAUACAUGCAAGUCGAGCGAACAGAGAAGGAGCUUGCUCCUUUGACGUUAGCGGCGGACGGGUGAGUAACACGUGGGCAACCUACCUUAUAGUUUGGGAUAACUCCGGGAAACCGGGGCUAAUACCGAAUAAUCUGUUUCACCUCAUGGUGAAAUAUUGAAAGACGGUUUCGGCUGUCGCUAUAGGAUGGGCCCGCGGCGCAUUAGCUAGUUGGUGAGGUAACGGCUCACCAAGGCGACGAUGCGUAGCCGACCUGAGAGGGUGAUCGGCCACACUGGGACUGAGACACGGCCCAGACUCCUACGGGAGGCAGCAGUAGGGAAUCUUCCACAAUGGGCGAAAGCCUGAUGGAGCAACGCCGCGUGAGUGAAGAAGGAUUUCGGUUCGUAAAACUCUGUUGUAAGGGAAGAACAAGUACAGUAGUAACUGGCUGUACCUUGACGGUACCUUAUUAGAAAGCCACGGCUAACUACGUGCCAGCAGCCGCCGAAA
Molecule: ribosomal RNA, 514 nt
Filed under: uncultured bacterium
Lineage: Bacteria
Description: partial 16S ribosomal RNA
Rfam family: Bacterial small subunit ribosomal RNA
Source: RNAcentral